AGAUGGGGAAAAUCGAUCUGGCUGUGACAUCUGUCACCCCAUUGAUCGCAAGUUUUGAUUCAGCUGAGCUGGCUGGCUAGGCGGGUGUCCCCUUCCUCCCUCACAGCUCUAUGUGCAUCUCUCCCAAAGCUUUGUGCUCAGUGAAAGAGGACAACCUUCCCCAAAAAGAGACGGAUCAGUCUUCACUCGAGGGUAUAUGCGCAGCUGCACUCCCCUGCUAGAACCUCCAGACAGGCUCUCAAGGUCCAGAUGGGAAAACUAAGGCACUGAGAGAUGGUUAUAAGUCAGUCAAACUCAGACAGCCUGACUCCAGAGCCCAAACCCCAACUCU
Molecule: unclassified non-coding RNA, 331 nt
Organism: Erinaceus europaeus (western European hedgehog)
Lineage: Eukaryota; Metazoa; Chordata; Mammalia; Eulipotyphla; Erinaceidae
Gene: 7SK
Rfam family: 7SK RNA
About the family: 7SK was discovered as an abundant small nuclear RNA in the mid-70s but a possible function has only recently been suggested. Two independent studies have found that 7SK RNA binds the CDK9/cyclin T complex (known as elongation factor P-TEFb). P-TEFb activates transcription by phosphorylating the C-terminal domain of RNA polymerase II.
Source: Ensembl